UACGUAGGGGGCAAGCGUUGUCCGGAAUCAUUGGGCGUAAAGAGCGCGUAGGCGGCCCUGUAAGUCCGCUGUGAAAGUCAAGGGCUCAACCCUUGGAUGCCGGUGGAUACUGCAGGGCUAGAGUCCGGAAGAGGCGAGUGGAAUUCCUGGUGUAGCGGUGAAAUGCGCAGAUAUCAGGAGGAACACCGGUGGCGAAGGCGGGUCUCUGGGCAGUAACUGACGCUGAGGAGCGAAAGCGUGGGGAGCGAACAGG
This 253-nucleotide ribosomal RNA is filed under the name uncultured bacterium. Its description in RNAcentral is "partial 16S ribosomal RNA". It matches the Rfam family "Bacterial small subunit ribosomal RNA", at positions 524 to 776 of the family's 1533-position model. The record is from RNAcentral.